CAUCUCACUCUCUCUCUCCCCUUAACGUCUCAAAAUCAAUCAACGCCCUCGUCUCAGCCUCAUCUCCACCCGGCCCCUUAACCGUCUCGUCUCCUCCCUCCGUUUCCUCCUGCCGGACGGCAAACCUCUUCUUCCCUCACUGACCUCUGCCUCAUCUCCUCCACCACCACCUCCGAUUCCCAAUACAUAUAGGCCAUCCAUCCUACCUCGAUUCCAGCCACCUCGACACAGAUAAAAAUCGUCAGUGACCGACCAAGCAACAAACUCUCAUCCAGCCAGCAACGCCCUCCCUCUGCCAUGAUUUUGCUGCAAUUAGAUUUGAAGCAGUUUUCGAGGAGAGGAGAGGUUACCCACCAAAAGCACCAUAAAUUAUGGAGCGAAUUCAUUGUGUGUUCAACGAGUUCCGAGCCCUGCCUGAAGAUUUGCCAUCUACCUCGUUAAGUUAAGACGACAAAGGGAAGGGGAAAAAUCAAAGAUUGAAUUGUGAUGCUGUGGGGACCUGUGAUGUCAAACUGGGGAUGGGAAGUUGGUCAGGCCUGUAGCAAGAAUAAUUUUGUCCUUCCAACUGCAGAAGCUUGCUGUUUAAGUAAGGUUGCCUGCUCCCCAAGCAAAAGAAUUGGAGGCUCGUCGACAUAGAAUUUUCACUUGGGAGCUAUCGUGAGUCUCUGCUAUAGUAUUGUGGAACUUUUCACUUGGGAUGGAUUGAGCCAUGUCAUACAGAUAUUAAGAUGCUGAUGAAAGAUCUUCCUGGAGAUAAAGUUAGUUUAAUCAGGGGGAAACAAAUGCUUGCGCUGACCGGAUUGCAGCAUCUCCUUACAGUGUUUCCUGUAUAGUGACCAUAGAAGAGUGAAUUGUCCUGACUGAUGAGUGUGUUGAGUUUCAUUCUUCUGUAAACAACUGCAGUGCAUUCGAUAUUGGAUCACAUGAAUAAAAGAGUUUCCCGUCUACGCCAA
Molecule: non-coding RNA, 953 nt
Organism: Punica granatum (pomegranate)
Lineage: Eukaryota; Viridiplantae; Streptophyta; Magnoliopsida; Myrtales; Lythraceae
Source: RefSeq, a predicted model, not a curated record